UUUCUGGUUUUAUGUGGCAUAGAUUUUGUCCUGGUAGCUGGAGUAAAGCGCGUGUUGGUUUUCAUUUACUUAUUGACGUCUGCAAACCGUCUGUGAGUUGCUGAGAGAGACAGAUAGGACCUCCCAUGAACAACUACGCUCUCCCAAUGAUACACACGAAAAAAAGCGUUUAAAAUAAAACUAUAACAUAAUUUUAUGGUCCGAUAGUAAUUUUAUGCGUAUACUUUGCUUUGAUUUGUUGAGAGGUAGGAAUUAAAUUAUCCAUGAAUGGUUCAUCAUUUGGUUGCUUAUGUGGAGUUCUAAAACCUGUCAUUUCGAUAUUGACAACUGGUCCCAAUGUGAAAGUACUAGCUUGUUGGGAUGGUGAUACUAUAGAGGGCUGGAGUAAUAAAAGCAGCUUGAAGAACAUGAGGCAAGAUUAGUCACUUCUUCCAUCACUGAAAAAGGCAGAUGAAUGCAGCAUGCUGAUCAUGAACUAAAAGCAUAGUAAAUCAUCAGAAUGAAGACAUCAGGAAUAGAAAAAGUGGGUGGAAGAGGAAAGUGAAUGGGAGAGUUAUGGGAGGUGCAUCAUUGGUCCGCUUUCGUAGCUGCUGCAAAUUAAGUGGGAGAAGAGGAAAGGAGUUUGCAUCAGUAAACAUUCUUCAGUUUCUGUUGAAAUGACUAAGUGUACCUCCUCGCAUCAGUCAAGAUAUUAAGGUUGGACUUGAGAAUCAUCCCGCUCUUCUCAGCAUUUUCUUCCUCAGUGCUUCAUCCUUUUGGUCCUGAGGUUUGAGCAAACCCACUGACACAAGUGCUUGUUAAUUAGAAAGAAGUAUUGGUGAAAUCAUCUUGAAGGUUACAUCACUGGAUCAGGAAAUGCAUGCAUGAUGUCAUGAAGAAGAAGGGGACUGUUGUAAGGAUGUGCUGCAGGUGCUGAUGGGAAGUCAUCCAACAUGCGUGCACAUGAUGUUGGAGGAAGACGACGCUUCGAGGACAAUGAGUUCACACUGCGCAUUUACCCUGGUAGCAUUGCAGAAGGGACAAUUUAUUGCCCUGUUGCAGCCAGGAAGAGCACCACGGCUGCAGAGGUCAUUGACUCUGUCAUCGUUAAGUUGCAGCUGGACAAAAUCAAAUGCUAUGUCUUGGCCGAGGUAAAGGAGUUCGGGGGAGAAGAAUG
This is a long non-coding RNA of Protopterus annectens (West African lungfish), 1156 nucleotides long. RefSeq lists it as uncharacterized. The record is from RefSeq and is a predicted model, not a curated record. NCBI's taxonomy places the organism in Eukaryota, Metazoa, Chordata, Ceratodontiformes, Protopteridae. The transcript has 5 exons.